CGAUGGUUCUAUUUUGUUGGUUCUAGGACCGUUGUAAUGAUUAAUAGGGAUAGUUGGGGGCAUUAGUAUUUAAUUGUCAGAGGUGAAAUUCUUGGAUUUAUUGAAGACUAACUACUGCGAAAGCAUUUGCCAAGGAUGUUUUCAUUAAUCAAGAACGAAAGUUAGGGGAUCGAAGACGAUCAGAUACCGUCGUAGUCUUAACCAUAAACUAUGCCGACUAGGGAUCGGAUGAUGUUAAUUUUAUAAUGACUCAUUCGGCGCCUUACGGGAAACCAAAGUGUUUGGGUUCCGGGGGGAGUAUGGUCGCAAGGCUGAAACUUAAAGGAAUUGACGGAAGGGCACCACCAGGGGUGGAGCCUGCGGCUUAAUUUGACUCAACACGG
Molecule: ribosomal RNA, 383 nt
Filed under: uncultured fungus
Lineage: Eukaryota; Fungi
Description: SSU rRNA
Rfam family: Eukaryotic small subunit ribosomal RNA
Source: RNAcentral